This 377-nucleotide ribosomal RNA is filed under the name uncultured fungus. Its description in RNAcentral is "SSU rRNA". It matches the Rfam family "Eukaryotic small subunit ribosomal RNA", at positions 831 to 1208 of the family's 1831-position model. Lineage: Eukaryota; Fungi. The record is from RNAcentral.
UGUGUGCCUCUAUUGGUCUUUUAGAGGCACCUUAAUGAGAAAUAGGGGCGGCUCGGGGGCAUUUGUAUUCAAUUGCUAGAGGUGAAAUUCUUGAAUUUAUUGAAGACAAACUACUGCGAAAGCAUUUGCCAAGGACGCUUUCAUUGAUCAAGAACGAAGGUCGGGGGAUCGAAAACGAUUAGAUACCGUUGUAGUCUCGACAGUAAACUAUGCCAACCGGCGAUGGGUGGGGGCUUUUUUAAUGACCCCAUCUGCAGCCAAAGAGAAAUCUUGAGUGCGGUUCGUGGGGGAGUACGGUCACAAGGCUGAAACUUAAAGGAAUUGACGGAAGGGCACCACCAGGAGUGGAGCCUGCGGCUUAAUUUGACUCAACACGG